RNAcentral lists this ribosomal RNA (561 nucleotides) under Stenotrophomonas sp. RNAcentral describes it as "bacterial SSU rRNA". The stretch from base 1 to 496 matches the Rfam family "Bacterial small subunit ribosomal RNA", at positions 386 to 873 of the family's 1533-position model. The record is from RNAcentral. Lineage: Bacteria; Pseudomonadati; Pseudomonadota; Gammaproteobacteria; Lysobacterales; Lysobacteraceae.
AUCCAGCCAUACCGCGUGGGUGAAGAAGGCCUUCGGGUUGUAAAGCCCUUUUGAAGGGAAAGAAAUCCAUCUGGCUAAUACCCGGGUGGGAUGACCGUACCCAAAGAAUAAGCACCGGCUAACUUCGUGCCAGCAGCCGCGGUAAUACAAACGGUGCAAGCGUUACUCGGAAUUACUGGGCGUAAAGCGUGCGUAGGUGGUCGUUUAGGUCCCUUGUGAAAACCCUGGGCUCAACCUGGGAACUGCACUGGAUACUGGGCGACUAGAAUGUGGUAGAGGGUAGCGGAAUUCCUGGUGUAGCAGUGAAAUGCGUAGAGAUCAGGAGGAACAUCCAUGGCUAAGGCAGCUACCUGGACCAACAUUGACGCUGAUGCACGAAAGCGUGGGGAACAAACAGGAAUAAAUACCCUGGUAUUCCACGCCCUAAACGAUGCAAGGUGGAUGUUGGGUGCAAUUUGGCUCUCAAUAUGUAAGCUACCGCAUGGGGCCCGCCGCCUGGAGAGAACAACGCACAACUGAGCUGAGGGGGUUGACGGCUCCCUCCCAUUGGUUUAGGUUCUG